Molecule: RNA transcript, 1737 nt
Organism: Homo sapiens (human)
Lineage: Eukaryota; Metazoa; Chordata; Mammalia; Primates; Hominidae
Gene: PSMC3IP
Gene name: PSMC3 interacting protein
Exons: 8
Source: RefSeq, marked reviewed
GGAGUCCGGGAGGGGUCGCUUUGCUCCUCCGGAAGGCUUCCCCUUCAGCCAAUCACCGUUCGAGGCCCGCCCCCGUCGCCGGAAGGAGCCGUCGCCCCGAGCAACUACAACGUCCGGCUUUCUGAGUUGGGUGGCGGGAAAGGCGAUGAGUAAAGGCCGGGCAGAAGCUGCGGCGGGAGCCGCCGGGAUCCUCCUGAGGUACCUGCAGGAGCAGAACCGGCCCUACAGCUCCCAGGAUGUGUUCGGGAACCUACAGCGGGAACACGGACUGGGCAAGGCGGUGGUGGUGAAGACGCUGGAGCAGCUGGCGCAACAAGGCAAGAUCAAAGAGAAGAUGUACGGCAAGCAGAAGAUCUAUUUUGCGGAUCAGGACCAGUUUGACAUGGUGAGUGAUGCUGACCUUCAAGUCCUAGAUGGCAAAAUCGUGGCCCUCACUGCUAAGGUGCAGAGCUUGCAGCAGAGCUGCCGCUACAUGGAGGCUGGUAGGACUGGGUAGCCCCUCCAAAGUGCCCAUAGGCUUAGGUUCAUUCUAGAGGUCAGGAAUUACUAAAUGAAUGGUUCAAUGACUGCAGCAUCUUGUUGCAGCUAAGACCCCUUUGCUGGGCUCCCUUAGGCAUAAAAAGAAAUGUAGGAUAACUAACGGCUUUUGUGUACCAACAAAUGGACAAGAUACGCAUUUGUUCUCCCUGCCACGAUUAUCAGUACACUGUCCCCACGUUUCCCUUUAUUCCUGCUUCUUUAACUGGCUACGCCUAAGUAAGUAGCUCAAGGAAUUAUCUAGUGCCCUGACCACACCAGAGAUGCAGAAAGAAAUCCAGGAGUUAAAGAAGGAAUGCGCUGGCUACAGAGAGAGAUUGAAGAACAUUAAAGCAGCUACCAAUCAUGUGACUCCAGAAGAGAAAGAGCAGGUGUACAGAGAGAGGCAGAAGUACUGUAAGGAGUGGAGGAAGAGGAAGAGGAUGGCUACAGAGCUGUCUGAUGCAAUACUUGAAGGAUACCCCAAGAGCAAGAAGCAGUUCUUUGAGGAAGUUGGGAUAGAGACGGAUGAAGAUUACAACGUCACACUCCCAGACCCCUGAGGGGCCCACGGUCAGGACUGGUGGGGACUGCAGGAUGUCAGAAGAGUGAGAUGUCUUGCACUGGCUACCUUGUUUUUGGUUGGCUUUUGUUGUUGUUCCUGCUACUUUCACCUUUAAGCAGAGCAGUCAGGAGACAAGCAUAAACCAGAGCACUGGGUAGAGAGGAUGAGGGCUGGUGGCUGGGGGUAGACCCAGCCCAUUUCAUUGUCUAAAUUGCAGUAGCUUGAGGUUAACAUUUAGACUUGGAACAAUGCUAAAGGAAAGCAUUUGGCAAUAUUUAUUAUAAUUUAAUUUUAUAUAAAAAUAUUUAAUUUCCUCUGGAUAGUCAAACCUGCCAGAUAUCAAACCUGAGGAAGGCAGAAGUGAAUUUGGAGAACUAGGGUAGAGAGAGGUUGCUAUAAAACGAGCAUUUGGAGGGCCCACGGCUUCACUCAGGACCUGCUGGGCUUGUGUACCCCAGGAGCCCUUUUAAGUAUCUUUUGUACGCUUUUCACCCCACCCCCAAGUCCUGGGAGAAAUGCAGGCAACACUGAGACAUGGGAGAGGCCAAGAUAUGCUUGACAGAAAGGGUGAUUUUGAGGCUCAGUUAAUAUUUCAAAAUUGUAACCGUAGCAAAACUGCAUUGGUAUUUAGAAAAAUAAAAAAUUUCCAAUAUGUA